GGCUCCAUAGUGUAGUGGUUAUUAGCACGUCUGCUUUACACACAGAAGGUCCUGGGUUCGUGUCCCAGGUGGAACCA
Molecule: transfer RNA, 77 nt
Filed under: Pteropus alecto (black flying fox)
Lineage: Eukaryota; Metazoa; Chordata; Mammalia; Chiroptera; Pteropodidae
Rfam family: tRNA
About the family: Transfer RNA (tRNA) molecules are approximately 80 nucleotides in length. Their secondary structure includes four short double-helical elements and three loops (D, anti-codon, and T loops).
Source: Rfam by way of RNAcentral